Molecule: transfer RNA, 93 nt
Filed under: Methylobacterium radiotolerans
Lineage: Bacteria; Pseudomonadati; Pseudomonadota; Alphaproteobacteria; Hyphomicrobiales; Methylobacteriaceae
Description: tRNA-Gly
Source: RNAcentral
GGGACGGCUGGCACGGAUCGGUGGAGCGGGCCUUCCCGGCCUGCGGUUUCAGGGAGACGAUGAGCUGGACGUUCGGCACGUCGCCGACCUGCC